UACGGGGGGAGCAAGCGUUGUUCGGAUUUACUGGGCGUAAAGGGCGCGUAGGCGGUCAGCACAAGUCAGUUGUGAAAUCUCCGGGCUUAACUCGGAAAGGUCAACUGAUACUGUGCGACUAGAGUGCGGAAGGGGCAACUGGAAUUCCCGGUGUAGCGGUGAAAUGCGCAGAUAUCGGGAAGAACACCCGUGGCUAAGGCGGCUCUCUAGUACGGUACUGACGCUGAGACGCGAAAGCGUGGGGAGCGAACAGG
RNAcentral lists this ribosomal RNA (254 nucleotides) under uncultured bacterium. RNAcentral describes it as "partial 16S ribosomal RNA". It matches the Rfam family "Bacterial small subunit ribosomal RNA", at positions 524 to 776 of the family's 1533-position model. The record is from RNAcentral.